UUUUAAAAUUUUAAAAUCAUAAUUUUAUUCCUUAAUUAAUGAGCUUUCCUUCCUUCGAUCGUUCUAUGGAGAUUCAGAUAAUCUUUUGCCGCCAAAGGCGUUGAUGGAACAUUUUCGCGCAAACGCACCACAAUGCUGCAUCAACUCCUGACGAUAAUAUAGUCGGUGAGGUUUUAUCGAUUGUUAAUUUUUUGCACGUGAAUGAAUCUCUUGUUGUUUUUUUGAAUAUGAUCGAACAGGGGGAAUGUACAUGGCGAAAAGCAAGCCACAAAACGUGAGCGAUUGCGAUUCUAUGGAGUAGUGGAAUUGAAUGGAGAAGUUAGUGAAGCAAAAUUGACGGUCCUCUUCAGAUUCCCAAAUCACGAGUUCCAGCAGUGAUCAGAUGGGAACUCGAGCAUAUUCAAAGUUCAUCCAUAUGAGAAUAUUAUGUACCUAGUUGAUGACAGAAAGAUUUCCGAGUAUGUUGGGCAACAAAAGAUAAGUGUCAAGUCUUUGAAAGCUUUUCUCCCAUCUUUGCUGAAAAUGAAAUCUACUUCUACUUUUUUGAAUACUUUUUAGUUGUGGCGGUGGAAAAUGGGGGCUCAAAGAGGGAUGGAAUUUGAUAAAAGUGGGCACAUACCAAUAUGUUCAGUACUCUUUUCAGGUGCGCGUGGACAUGAGCAUGCAGGAGCACUGGUACAGUUUCAAGAAAAUCACAACUUGACCCGAUUGAACAGAGCCUAUAACCAGAAGAAAGAAGAGGGGGGAAAAGGAAAGCAAAAGGUGAGAGCAUUUUGUUACAAGAUUCCACAAAGCUUUAAAGCAGGCAAUUGUGGAAGUGGGGACAGCGACCACGAUGAAAUCACAACGUUGGCAGUGGUUGGAUUUACUUAUAAGAAGUGUAGUGCGACCUGAUAAAAGCCUUCAAUCAAUCAUAUGUCUCUCUGUAUCCUUCCGUCUCCCCUAAGUUACUGAACUUUUAAGUUUCAAAUUGUCUUUUUUUCUUUAUAUUGUUAUUAUUUGUCUACUUGCCUCGUACUCCUAUUAA
Cucurbita moschata (crookneck pumpkin) is the source of this 1027-nucleotide long non-coding RNA. RefSeq lists it as uncharacterized. The record is from RefSeq and is a predicted model, not a curated record. Lineage: Eukaryota; Viridiplantae; Streptophyta; Magnoliopsida; Cucurbitales; Cucurbitaceae. The transcript has 5 exons.